GUUGUGGCGGCAGUCGACUGCGAAGCUAGAGAGACGGCGAUGAAGGACGCUCACCCGUGGCCGAGCAGAUGGUGCGGCGGGCCUCGGAAAUAGGCUACGACCGAGGAUGAUUGCCAAGUGAGAAACGAGAUGUUCAACCCGCUGAAAGCGGCAACUCGACGAUGAUGAAUACGACCACCGUCAUCGGCAACGGAACUGAAAAGACGGACGAACAAUCAACGAAGGAAGAGCAAAUUGAAACCACGACUGUUAUACGCAAUAGAUACAGAGUGACCAAUAACACAUAUCGCUGCCGCUUAAUCUGCGGAGAUUGGUUGACCGACAUGUGCUACAAUGGAUGCGUGUGCCUCACAAGAAGGGGUGACGAGCCUUUUAUGUGCGUUGAGGAUAGUUAUGCAGCAUACUUCAGAGGAGGGUCACGAUACGCAUAACCCGCCUCUGAUGACAUCACAGCAUGCGUUUUUUACUUGAAACAGAGGCAUGUAAUACUACUCAAUAAACAUUUCUGUCAUUUGACACCCACGACAAAUAACAUGCU
Molecule: long non-coding RNA, 538 nt
Organism: Dermacentor andersoni
Lineage: Eukaryota; Metazoa; Arthropoda; Arachnida; Ixodida; Ixodidae
Source: RefSeq, a predicted model, not a curated record